This 159-nucleotide non-coding RNA is filed under the name Candidatus Omnitrophota bacterium. RNAcentral's name for it is "6S RNA". It matches the Rfam family "6S / SsrS RNA". Rfam says of the family: E. coli 6S RNA was the first non coding RNA to be sequenced, but its function was unknown until recently. It consists of 184 nucleotides that fold into an extended hairpin structure with a large single-stranded internal bulge. The 6S RNA specifically associates with RNA polymerase holoenzyme containing the sigma70 specificity factor. Lineage: Bacteria; Pseudomonadati; Candidatus Omnitrophota. The record is from RNAcentral.
AUAUCCCUGCCGUGUCCGUUGGUAAUGCUUGAAAAUUGGUGAAUCAACAGAAUAAUCAUGGGAGCCUUGAUUCUUCUGCGCCUUGGCGCAGAGAGAUGGCACCCACCUGACACCGUAAGGUUCAGCCAUCAAGCGCCAACGACACAGUGCGGGGAUUUU